CCUGUUGUGACGUCACGGCGGCGCGCCGGCCUCAGGAGAGGACCCCUAUGCGACCGCGUCCCUUCGGUCCUUGAGCCUGGUCCUUGAGCCUGAGUCCAGCGCGCAGCGAUGGCCUUGAGGCUGCUGAGACUAGUCCCCGCGUCCGCGUCCGCGCGCGGCCUGGCGGGGGGCGCCCCGCGCGUGGUGAGGCGACGGGGCAGUGGGUAGCCCGGCGGGACAGUGGGCGGGCCGGCGGGCCGGGUCGGGUCUCUGCGCGGCGGCUCCGGGACCGCUCUCCGGCGGGGUCCUGCUGCCGGCGGCGUCCUCCGUGGCGGUCCCCAGCGCGGCCAGCUUGGUCGCAGCCGCCGGCGGAGCGCCGCGGCAGACGCACGGCCCGGAGGCGGCGGCUCGCCGGGUCCUGAGCUCACCAGCAGCUUUGCCGGGGGCCUUGGGAAGGGUCAGGCCCUGGGCGGGGCGCCGGGCCCGGGGCCGUCACGAAGAGGACCGCUGGGUGAGAUUCGGAAGCACGAGGGAAACUUCCCACUGUGGGGGUCAGGGAGGUGACCUCGCACGUGCAGAGGACAGGGGCAAAGGAACCGUGGCUGCAGACGCAGGAAACCUUUGGUGGACUUUGGGUGCCGGAGGCUCUGGGCCAUGGCUUUAAAGGGGCUUGGCCGCGAGCUGAGGGAUUGAGCGUGAACAGAGAGGGUGCCGGUCUGAUCUGGAGGAGAGAGGCGCUGGCUGUCCUGCUGUUGUGGGCCUGUGAGGGGGAGCCAGACGCCCAGAGAGCCCGGACCCUCACUGUAACCUGGGCCCGGUGCCCAGCUGUGGCGGCGCGUUCUCUGGGGCGCUUCAGAUUGAACACGGUGUAGGGUAUCCUCAGUGGUCAGGAGGACGCGUGCAAGGGGAAAAGUAGGUCUGUGUUGGACUGGAGGGACAAUUAAAGGAAUCGAAAACGGUUCAUGAAAAGUCGGUUAUUUGUGUUAUUCUGGGCAGCAGGAGAAUGGAGUCAAGGAUGCUUGUCAACCUAGUCUCCUGUGCGUGGACCGUAGGUGGCCAGGUCUUUGCUUUAGAGGCAUUACUCCAGUGAACGUCUUUGAUGUAUAUAGCCCUCUUCCCAUUUUGCUGCUGUGAAUGUGUGUCUAUGUGUAACUUACAAAAUAGUGCAUUCUUUCUUUUAAUUAACUAAAGCUAGGCUUUAUUCAGACUUCAUUAGUUUUUCCCCAGUGUCCAUUUUCUGUCCCAAGAUCCCAUCCAGUGUGUCCUGUAACAUCUGUUGUGUCCUCGGUUGUGUGGAUUUCUCAGACUCUUGUUUCUGGUAACCUUGAUGGUUCUGAGAAGUACUAAGCAGGUGUUUGAUUCUCAGAAACCUGGAGGGUUUGUCUUGGUUGAACUUGGCUGGGAAGAGGACUGCAGAGGUGAAGGGCUACUGGCGUCUCACCAGCACACUAGGAAUAUGACUGUUGGUUGAUGUUGAGGUAGGUCAACUGACUGCUGUGCUGAGGCUGAUUCUCCACUGUGAGGCUGUUCUCCCCCUGCACCCUGUGUUCUUAGGAGGGAGCCCCUUUGUGCCAUGCUUAUGGAGCAGGGUUGUGCUCCUUCCCCUGUAGAGUGUCAAGGUUGGCAAUUUGGACCUCUCCUCCCUGGGUGUGUGAGGAAUCAUGGGUAGUCACUGCUGCAUGUGUUGCCCACGUUGUCGUGGCUGUGUCCCUAUUGGUUUCUUGUUCCUGUGACUUACCGGGUUGUAUGAAUACUGCCUGACUUUUUGACACUACCUUUUUUGCAUAUCAAAAGAUGUGUAGAUGGCAGGUAAGCACAAGAAAAGAUGGCCAAGGCAUCUGUCAUCUGGGAAUCACAAGUGAAAGGACAAAGGAGACAAAAGCAUACAUUUAAUAGAGUGGUAAAAAGCCAAGUGGCUGAAGCCGGAGCAGCUGGCAGGACUGGCGCAAGGCAGGAAUGCCUUCACAGCCUCUGGGUAGUUGCUGUGCCUUCUUUUGCAACCUGUGUUCCCCCCCCCCCCCAAUCCUUCAGUAUUCAAGUAAAUCAAGUGUGAAAAACAUCUGUUUUAUGUAAAUUUUUUUUUGUGUUUGUGGUACUGGGGAUUGGACUUGGGGGGCAUGUUCUCACUGAGCUACAUCUCCAGCCCUUUCCUUAUUGAGACAGGGUCUCACUAAGUUGGCCUCAAAUUUGUAAUCCUCCUGCCUCAGCCUCCUGAGUAGCAGUGGCACACCCAGCUAUUCUUAAUAUUUUAAAUUCUCCUGUAUUCUUUUUUAUAAUAAAGUAUUUUAUUAUUUAAUUAAGUAAGUGGUUAAUAUUUUGUGGUAAGGGUAUACCUUAAAAUUUUAAGCUCCUCCUCUGUUGUUGGAUAAUUGCAUUUGCCAUUAUGAACAAUAUUUCAUCAAGCAUCCUUAUAGGGGAUUCUUUGCACAGAUGAGUGUCCCCUUAGGACAGGUUUCUGGUGCUAGGCUCAGUAGCCUAGAUUUAAGCACCAUUAGCUGUUUAUGAGGGAACUCAUUGUCUUGUCCUAAAAAAUCAAGUAUUUCCUGUUUUGAUGCAUGAAAAAGUGUUUUCUCCUUUGUUGUUGUCUCUUCCAGACAUUUGAAUGUGUGGUUAUCUGCAUACCUAACACUUUAAAAAUGAGCUGUGUAGCUGGGCAUGGUGGACAUAUCUGUAGUCUCGCUGACUCAAGGCUGAGGCAGGAGGAUCACAAGUACAAGGCCAGCCUGGGCAACUUAGUGAGACCUGUCUCAAAAAAUAAGAAGGGCUGGGGGUGCAGCUCAGUAGUAAAGCGAUCCCUGGGCCGAAUCUCUAGUGCCAAAAGGAGCAAGCUGCGAGGUCACCCUUCAUAUGUCUUACUGAUGUGUAGAAUGUCCUUGUACCAAGGCACAUGCUGCUUGGUAUUUUUAUUUGGCGGGAGAUUAUUUUGGCUUCAGUGUGGAGGGCAGAUGGAAGACGCUGGAGACGGCAGGUGAGGCGUCUCACCCUGUGCAUGAGAGCCAUGAGGAUGUCUGCAGAAUCAGGGCAGCAGGGGAGCAAAGUGACACUUUGGCCAGAGGUGGAGGGUCAGGAGUCAGAGUGGUGGUGGGGCUGGAGGAAGGAGGAGGGGAGCUGUUAGGUAGGGGACGCGGCCUGUUGUGAGUGAGAGCAGAUUUAUGGAUUGGGGUUGGAAGUUGUGCUUUGGUUUAGGACUGCUAGCUCACAGGUGUAGGGGACCAGCUGCAGCUUGGGAUGAGCCCAGAGAUGCUUUCCUGGAAAGAGGAGAUGCCCUCUCUGUCUCCCCAGCCGCUUUCUUCCUGCCUUUCUCCCUCCCGCCUGCCAGCCUUCUGCCUUCCAUUUUCAUGGAACAUGGCAAGCAUACUGCAGGCUCCAUUCUGGCCCUGUGCCCCUGGGGUGAGGAGGGUGGGUGUAGGCAGGGCCUGUGCAGCCCUGGGGUAAGGAGGGUGGGUGUAGGCAGACCCUGUGUGCCCUGAUGUGAGGAGGGUGUAGGCAGGGCCUGUGCAGCCCUGGGGUGAGGAGGGUGUAAGCAGGCCCUGUGCGCCCUGGGGUGAGGAGGGUGGGUGUAGGCAGGGCCUGUGCAGCCCUGGGGUAAGGAGGGUGGGUGUAGGCAGACCCUGUGCACCUGGGGUGAGCAGGGUGGGUGUAGGCAGGGCCUGUGCACCUGGGGUGAGGAGGGUGGGUGCAGGCAGACCCUGUGCACCUGGGGUGAGGAGGGUGGGUGUAGGCAGGCCCUGUGCACUCUGGGAUGAGGAGGGUGCCGGUGCUGGCAUUUUUGCCGUUGAUGGGUUUUUGGUGCUGUUAGGUUACUGAUGCCUGCAGUGCUGAAGGGUCACAUGCUGUGGGACGGCGUGUCUUCCAGGGACUGCUUCACACCAGUGCACAGUGCGAGCUGCGGUAUGGGGCUUUGGCAUUCCUGCUUGGUGAAAGGACAACCAAGAAGCUGACGGAGUCCAGCAGAGUGAUCACUGUGGAUGGCAACAUCUGUUCUGGAAAAGGCACACUGGCCAAGGCAAUAGCAGAGAAACUAGGUAUGAGCCACUGCCAUGCGCAGCGGGAUUCCCAGACACAGCUGUGGCCUCCUGCUGACCUCACUGUACUAUCCAGGGGUGGCCCUGGUCCAAGGGAGGUCUUUUACAUUUACAUUUGGUAUGUUUGGAGAAUCAUAGUGUCUCCUGUCCAUGCCGGUUACCAGCUGGAGCUGGACUUGCCUGGGCAGUGCAGGCAACACGUGUACUGUGAGCUGUCCUGUGGGCUCUGUGAUGGCCUCUGCUGCAGAGCUGUGGUUGUUACUCCGACUCACACUGGGUGGAUUGGGAGGUAAGCCAGUGUCACACAGCCGGUCAUUAGAACCCGUGUCCAGUUUUCCACGGUGCCUUCACUGGCAUCCAGUGGCAGCUGCCUGUGUGCACAGAGGACUCCUGUUAGGGGGGGUCAUUCUCUCAGGAGGGCUCUGCCUAUGGGCACAGUAUGGCUGUUCCGCCCUGAUGCGCUCUGGGCGUGUUGUCACCAGCGUCUCUGUCCCCCAGGAUGCACAGCGGAACUGGGGCUGGUUGGCUCCUCAGGUGGCUUCAGACCGGGUUGUGUGUCCUGCAGUCCCCACGAUCCCCCUGCGGGAGUGGGGGUCAGUCGCGCUUCACCAGUACUUCUCCCUCAGGCAUGAAGCACUUUCCUGAAGCAGGGAUCCACUACGCAGACAGCACCACAGGGGACGGGCGGCCCCUGGACGUGGAGUUCAGUGGCAACUGUAGCUUGGAGAAGUUCUAUGACGACCCGAAAAGCAACGAUGGCAACAGCUACCGCCUGCAGUCCUGGCUGUACGCCAGCCGCCUCCUGCAGUACGCAGACGCCCUGGAGCACCUGUUGAGUACAGGUGGGCCGCCCUUCUCAGUCCUCUUUGGGGUCCAGCCCUUGAAAUCCCAUCACUAGUGCUUUUCUGUACAGGUGCUGGGGCAAGUCGUGUCUUUCCAGUAAGAGUAGGAAUGUCUUGAGGUCCCGUUUCUGAUGCUCCAGGGUGAGGUGGACGCACUUCCCUGUGCACUGCAGUGAGCUUCACGCCACAGUGGUGGAGGGCAGUGGGGACACAGAGGCCGCUGGGAGGAAGUGGAGUCACAGUUGGGAAGAGGGGGCUUGAGGGAAGCAGAAGCACAGCGGCCAGCACCGGGUGGUUCUGCGGGGCUGGAGCUGGCUGAUCCACACAGAGCCCGGGGGAAGUUAGAACUGGGGGGCAGGCAGAACACACAGGUGGGGCUGUACAGUCAGGCAGGCAGAGCCCAGGUGCGUGUUGCUCCUACGAACGUGUGUGUUGUGCAGCCUACCUUUUAGGCAUCUCUACCAGGAUGGUGCCCAACUCUCACUGCUGGGCAGUAGCUUGGAUGUGACACUGGUGUUUGGGCCACUCCACUUUCAUUUUGAAGCACACUUCACCCUAUUUUCUGACUACCCAUUUCUUAAAAUUAAAGUCUUUUACUUGUUGAGUGGAAACUGGCCUGUUUCCUUGUGUGCUGUGUUCAUCUUUACGUUGAACACGAAUGCAAGGCCCGUCCAGGAGCCUGGGUUCCACAGGGAGGAGGCUUCUGAAUGAGCAGGUGGGUGGUGACCAGAGGCGGAGGCAGGGUGCCAGGGAGUGAGGGCGUGGAGGGCAGAGGCUCUACAGAAGGGCCAGGGCGCUGGGGCUCUGCUCUUCUAGAGGGGAAGGGGAGGGAGGGCUCUGUCCAGUCCCAGCAGGGCUGAUUGCAAGGGCCUUGUGCCUUGAGCAGUGUGAGUGACCCUUGGGACCAUUGUGACAGUGUGGCAGCAGUGAGGCUGAGAGUCAGGAGAGGGGGCGUCAAAGAAGUAGCCUAGCUGAGAUGGCCGGGUCUUGAGGGCCACGGCAGAGACCGGGUUUUCCUGAGGGAGAGAGGAGGCCAGUGGGAGGGUUGGUGCAGGAAUGAUCCAUGUGGCAGGUGGAAGUGUCCCUCUGCUGUCGGGGACCGGGCGAGGCAGGAUCAGGAAGUGCCAGCAGAGGCGGUGCACAGUGAUUGUGUUUGGUGGUGUUUGGAGAAUGCUGAGACGGCUGGGAUGAGUGGGGUGUGGGUGUGAGGGAGGGACUUGGGACAGCAGCAGAUUGCUGGGCACAGCGAGGUGCAAGGGCUUGGUUAGAAACAGACUCCCCAUGUUUGUGGGACGCCUCUGGGAUGGCUGAUGGAGUGUCCGUGGAGAUGAAAGGUCACUGGAACGGAACGGAGGAGUUUUUGAAAAUGUUUUUUUUCUUAUGAAUUUGACUUUGGUCCUUUGACUACAUUGGCUUGGAAAUGGAAUUGUGUUUUUUUCCCCAUUUCUAAAAUGACCUGACGGUGGGUAGGACUUCCUGCCUGCCUGCCGUCUGAGUCCCGCUGCCCUGUUCUCCACAGGACAAGGCGUGGUCCUGGAGCGCUCCAUCUUCAGCGACUUUGUCUUCCUGGAGGCCAUGUACAACCAGGGCUUCAUCCGCAAGCAGUGUGAGUCCCAGCCCCCCUCCCUGGCAUGUGCGGGCUCUGCCGUGGCUGCCCUGGGCCCGCAGCGCCUUCGGGGAAAGGCCGCGGCCUAGCCUGAUGCCGCUGUGGAAUGCGCCUCACAGAUGGGAGCGACUGAGCUGCCCACCCCCUUCCUCCUGUGGAGUCCCGGGCACUUGAGAGCACACAGC
Molecule: long non-coding RNA, 6637 nt
Filed under: Marmota monax (woodchuck)
Lineage: Eukaryota; Metazoa; Chordata; Mammalia; Rodentia; Sciuridae
Source: RNAcentral